GAACAAACCCUUCUGUUAAAACCUUCAGAAUACAGACAGGAAUACAUGUGGAAAGCUUGUAUGGGAGUGCUACUGAAGUGAGAAAAACGGCUUUUAAAAGAUAUGGAUUGUCAAAUUCUGAAUAUAUCAGCAUGAAAGCUGCCCCAGUUGAUUACUUGCAUUAAGACAGUCAUUUUUUUUGCAUUACAAGUUCUCUGAAAUGUUAUGUUUAAAUAUGCAAAUGAGGCAUUGUCUAAUGCUAACUUUUGGUGAAUGUGUAUUUUGGAUGUUCUCCCCCACUAGUCUGACAGAAGACAUGUUAGUAGAAUAGCCAAAAAACAGA
Molecule: long non-coding RNA, 322 nt
Organism: Sander lucioperca (pikeperch)
Lineage: Eukaryota; Metazoa; Chordata; Actinopteri; Perciformes; Percidae
Exons: 3
Source: RefSeq, a predicted model, not a curated record